Molecule: long non-coding RNA, 218 nt
Organism: Eurytemora carolleeae
Lineage: Eukaryota; Metazoa; Arthropoda; Copepoda; Calanoida; Temoridae
Exons: 4
Source: RefSeq, a predicted model, not a curated record
UUCAGUUUUUGGUAUUCCUGUUUUUAGUUUUCCAUUUUCUUGUGAUCAAUCCUUUCGAAUUGUCAGGGAAGAAACCGAACCAGUUUCCUGUAGGAAUAAAGGGACAGUGCUCAGUAGAAUAGUUGUAAUAUAUCCAGCGGAGCAUAAGGUUAUAUGUGAGUUGGAUAAUCGUCUACCAGAAUCAAAAUAUUUCUUCGUAGCCACUAACCAGACCCAAG